This 3077-nucleotide long non-coding RNA is filed under the name Triticum aestivum (bread wheat). Its description in RNAcentral is "long non-coding RNA (TAES_LNC001215)". Lineage: Eukaryota; Viridiplantae; Streptophyta; Magnoliopsida; Poales; Poaceae. The record is from RNAcentral.
CGCACAAACCAUACCCCCGAUCCAUAGGUUUUUCACCCUAUCCUCCCCUUUCCUCCCCUUCCCUUCGUCAACACAGCAGCCACACCUCCUCUCCCGUGCUUGCCGCCGCCACAGCCUCGCUGUGCCCGCCACUAGAUCUGCGCCCUCGAGGGUGACGGGAGCUGAAGACGAUGAGCAACGGCGCGUGGGGUUCGUGUAGGUCCUCGGCUCGUCCGUACCUCACCAGUCCGCCGGGCAAGCAAGGCCGCGGGAGACGAGCACACGAAGGUCAGCGGCAAGUGCUCCAGAGAGGAGAGAAGGCGGCACUCUAGGUGGCGGCGCUGUGCUAGCAAAAUCAAGUGGUGGCUGAGGUACACGAGAGCGAGGUGGUGCUGGAACGCAUGGGGCAGGUGGUGCUGGAACGCAUGGGGGCCAGCAGCAAGUCGCCGCAAGUGCACAACCACUCCGACGAGGUGGUGGUGGCCUACUUGCCCAUGGUGAGCCAUUGUUCUUUUCUUUGCUCCUCUCUUCUCAUGAAAAGGUUUGAUGGACGCCGAAGCCGUCUGCUCCAUCCGCCAGGAUGCUCAUAAAGGUAGUUACAGUGAGAUUGAUGUUCAUAUUAGCUUCAAUGUUGUGACAUUUUUAUUAGAUCUGAGUUGUAAUCCACUAUUUUUUUAGAUUUUACAUUUUACUAGCAAUGGGUUUCCUGCUUUACUAGCUGUGACAUUUUUCAUGCCUUUUCUUUUAAUAUAGUAUAGCGUCCAUGCUUAUGGGUUCAAUUGGACAAGCUUUUGUCACCUUCCAUCCUGUUUUAAGCUCUGUUGAUGAAUGCUUUCUACCAUGUUAGUGGGAGGUGGAGGAGGCCAACGACUAGGAGAAGGAGCAUGGAUCAUAAUCGAUGUUAUGGAUAAAACUGCUAACAAAUUGUUGCAUCAUCAUGGACAAGGUGUCAAUACUACUAGGUAGGCAUAGUGAGUAUUCCACUUAUUAUGUCCACCUUGACACGUUUCAUGGAUUGUAUGAAUUAUUUUAAAUAUGUAAACCUACUUUGGUGUAUGUCAGUUUUAGGAUGGCAACUCGCCUUUUUUUCAUGCCUUCUUAACAGUUUUGGUUCUCAUGGGGUUUGAGAUGUGUAGAUCGAGUUCAACGGAUCAGUUGCAGGUGAGUAUGUAGUAUCCUUAUCUAUUUCAUAUGCUUGACUCCACUUUCAUUUUCCUAUGAUGUAUACAUUGGGCUCAGGGCUUUGGCCUGUUCCAUCCGAGGUGUAUCAUGCUUUAUCUGAAACUCAAGUAUACAUUUGGUGUUGUUGGGGCUUCUUUGAUUGAGAUGCGAAAGAGGGCAUAUGUGAUUUUUUUAGGCCAUCUGUCCAGGUAGUGACAUUCUAAUAUGCAAGGAAUGUGUUUAUUUGAUUUUUUUAUUCUGACAUACACUAAAGUAAUCAUGACCAUCGGUAAAAGGAAGACAGUCAAAACAUGAUUAUAUUUUGUCUUGGUAUACCUCAUUUAGUUGUCAUUUGUAUAUUUCAAGGAAAUUAUUCAAUUCUUAGUUAUCUUUCCAUUGCUAUUUUCCCUACUAUGCUUAUCGGAUGGGUAGAUAAUCUUAUAAGGGGAUGCAAUGGAUUUUUGUAUUUUGGAUUCUCUGGACUGAAUAGGUUAUAUUUUUAACCCAUAAAAAUUAAUUUGACUCCAAUAUGAUCAACUGUGACUCGGAAUAUUUUUCCCAAUAGUAUCGGACAAUAUUGUAGGCACCCACCCUCCAAAGUAUACAUUUGCAUUAUCUUAUUUGAUUAUUGGACUAACUGUCAACAAUCAUGUAUAUAGACUUCCCGGAGAAAUAAACCAAGAUGGGCAUUAUCUGGUACAGCACAAGGAACCUGCCCUCCUGCUUAGGUUCUGUAGCCAUGGCCCUCGAGUUAGCGGAGAAUGGUUAUGAUGAAGACUCUGAUUCCAGUUCUCAGGUUUCUCUUGUUCUCCUUCUUCAAAUUACAUUAUCCUCUUUAUGAUUUAGCUAUUCAUGUUAUCUCAAGAGAGUGCAUGCUUUAGAUUUAGCAGCCAUACAUACUGAAAGGGACAGCUUUGGACUCCCUUGCCUUGAUUUUCAAAAGUAUAAUUACCCCAUGUAAAGACUACAUCCAUUUUGGUAUAUAUGUGAUACUGCAUGUGUAAAUUCAGAAAAUAGACCUUAUGGUCUACCUUCAGUGUUUGCAUACUGCAUAAAUCUGGAGUAUCCUUGUGGUCAUGUGAGCUUGCUAUUAUACCUUGCAUUUGCAUUAAAAUGGAGAAUUCUGUAGCUAAGAUCCUGGUAUUUGUUCUUUCUUACAUGGGAUCUCUAUCUUAGCUUGCAACCAAUGUCAAUUAUACUUACUGAAAGAUGUUAGGUUUACAAAUCUAUUUAAUGACCAAUGGCAAAGCUUUGCCGGAAUUAUGUUAAUCUAAAAGGUGUAUCUACAUUUUUAAAGUUGUGAUUUUGGCCAAUUAACACUCCUAUUAAUCUUUGGUUUCUAUCUUUGCUACAGAUCCUAUGUGCCUGCUUUAUUAUUCGGCUGCUGUGAGACAGGCCUUGUCGCCACCUCACUUGUCAUCGCAAUCGUCCCUACCUCACUUCCCUCUGCCCUCGAGGCAAGGGUAUGUACCUUACUUAAUUCUUCAAUGGAAAUUCUUUGAAUUGAUAUACAAGCAUUUAAAACACUUCAUCUAUUGGGGAGUUGCUAUAUUUUCCUAUUUUAUUGUACCCUGGCAAGGUCAUAAUCCUGUUGCAUAAAGAAUGUUUCCAUGUUCUAAUAUUGCAUGGUUUGUUUAAACUGUUGUCUGCUCUGCAUCAGAAAGAACAAAAAAUUCGAGAUUGUUUCUUUGUUCUGUAUGUUUCCUAAAAUCUAUUGUUCAGGUUGUUUUUUUCUGUUUUUCUGCAGUCCCUCGAUUGCAUGCAUUCUGUAAGACAAUAAGUUUUGGGAACCAGCACAACCCUCUAGGGGUGGCUUAUCUCAUUAUAUAUAAUGGUUGUGUUACAAUACGUACAUAUGUACAGAAGUUAUACAUAGUCUAACACCCUCCCUCAAUCUUAGCCACUUUCUAAAGAACUGAGAAGGGUAAGAUUGCGCC